RNAcentral lists this ribosomal RNA (119 nucleotides) under Mus musculus (house mouse). The record is from RNAcentral. Lineage: Eukaryota; Metazoa; Chordata; Mammalia; Rodentia; Muridae.
GUAUACGGCCAUACCACCCUGAACGCGCCCGAUCUCGUCUGAUCUCGGAAGCUAAGCAGGGUCGGGCCUGGUUAGUACUUGGAUGAGAGACCGCCUGGGAAUACCGGGUGCUGUAGGCU